This 328-nucleotide ribosomal RNA is filed under the name uncultured Niabella sp. RNAcentral's name for it is "bacterial SSU rRNA". It matches the Rfam family "Bacterial small subunit ribosomal RNA", at positions 568 to 898 of the family's 1533-position model. Lineage: Bacteria; Pseudomonadati; Bacteroidota; Chitinophagia; Chitinophagales; Chitinophagaceae. The record is from RNAcentral.
UGCGUAGGUGGGUAAGUAAGUCAGUGGUGAAAUCUCCGGGCUUAACCCGGAAACUGCCAUUGAUACUAUUUGUCUUGAAUACUUUGGAGGUAAGCGGAAUAUGUCAUGUAGCGGUGAAAUGCUUAGAUAUGACAUAGAACACCAAUUGCGAAGGCAGCUUACUACACAGUGAUUGACACUGAGGCACGAAAGCGUGGGGAUCAAACAGGAUUAGAUACCCUGGUAGUCCACGCCCUAAACGAUGGAUACUCGACAUUAGCGAUACACAGAUAGUGUCUGAGCGAAAGCAUUAAGUAUCCCACCUGGGAAGUACGAUCGCAAGAUUGAA